Conger conger (European conger) is the source of this 4581-nucleotide long non-coding RNA. RefSeq lists it as uncharacterized. NCBI's taxonomy places the organism in Eukaryota, Metazoa, Chordata, Actinopteri, Anguilliformes, Congridae. The record is from RefSeq and is a predicted model, not a curated record. The transcript is spliced from 2 exons.
UGAUGCUUUAGACCGCUGGUCGAUCUUAAAUCGCUGUGUAAAUAUAAAAAGGGAAAAAGGGAGAAACAAAUAUUUAGCUUUGUUUUCAUUUUCUCCAGACCAAAGCUGAGCAGGAACACAAAGUUUGGUUGUGUCUUAGUCAACUGGAGUAAGAACAAAGGCCAUUUAUUCAACUGCCUUGAUUCUUGCCUUUAGAAGCCAUAUUAUUGGUUUGCGUGUGUACGUAUGUGUGUACGUAUGUGUGUGCUUCUGCGCGAAUGUGUAUGCAUGCAUGUGUUUGUAUGUUGUACGUUUUCUCUGUUUUGAAAAAAAGAAAAGAAAAACAGAGUUGAGCAUUAUUUCUAUUACUUGAAUUCAUGUGUGGUCUGUUCUCAUUCCUUAAGAGGUUGUUGACGCGUCGCUGUGCGUCGAGGUGCGUUUCACAGCUCCGCGGUGACACCGGCGGGAGAUACGCUGUAAUCUAUCAAACGUGUUUAUGAAUCGACGUGUGCAUGUAUAGCCCUAAAAUGGAUAUAAAUAUUCUGCAAUAGAUCCGCCCAGCCUUACAUAAUGUCUGUUGCUUUAAAUAUGUAUGGAAUUUGUUUUUGUAGAGAUGAAAAAUAAUAUGUGUCUUUAUAUUGUCAUUUACUGUAAGGUGUUGUGAUGUCGGGUCUUUGUAAGAUUUUUAAAAAUUUGUUCAUGUACCCAGAAAGUAUGGCAAUUCUUCACAAAGGUCUGGAAUAGCUAAAUUCACGAUAAAGUAUCGGCCUAACUGACUAAUUAACCACAGUGGGUAAUGUGGCUUCACACACGUUAAAAUUGUCCUAUAGCUACUAAGAAAGCCGUUUAAUGGCCCUGCCACAGUUCCCCUUUUGGUCUGCCUUGGUCCGUGUUUUUAAAAAGGUUUCCGCUUUUGAGCUGAAUUCAUCUGCCUUUGAGUUCCUUCCCUCCCCUCUAAGACAGUUUGAAGUGGCUCAGGUGUGCUUUAUAUGCAUAUGUGGUUCCAAGACUCUCAAACAGCAGUGAGCGACUGGAUAUAUCUGACUGCAGCCCACAUCGUAAUCCUGUUAAAACCGGUUUCAGCCUCUCAGACCUGUGUGCUUUCUCCCGGCUCCAGAAAAACAGGAAAACCGUUCGCAAGAUCUUUUCCAGACAUUGCGCCAAAACGUUUAAAGAAUCUGCCAUGUUUUUGACGGAUGUGCGUGUUUGUAGUAGUACGAUUAUAGCGCCAUUCCAAAGCACGGACUGCUGGUCAGAGUCCUGUAUUCAAACCAAACUUAUCGUUUUUUUCCAUACAUUUUGUUACGUGAAUGUUGACUCUUUGUGUACUUUUUGAUGGAUUUUAGUCUUCUGAUGAUUGGCGCGACCGUCAUAUGAAUUUAUGAAAGGCGCAACAGAAGAACCCAGCGGUUUGGACUAGAUUUGGAUUAGAUUUUGUCAGACAGAGAGCGAUUUCAAAGGCUGCGUGUUCCCCGUCUCCCACUAGCAGCUACUGCUGCCUCUUGCUCGAGUUUCUCCACUUUCACAAACGGACACUUUUAGAAUCUUACAGUUUGAAAUGUUGACAGUUGCGCUCUCCUGCUGCUUCCGUGCCCAUUACACGACAUUGACAGAUGCUAGCAAUACGUUACACUCGCUGGAGCCAAGAAUUCGCUACUUCACUAACUUGUACUCCAAAUACUGCCGAAGGCAAUCCUUGCCCAAGCUUUCCCCCAAGUGCUGAAAUCCGGCUCGUGCCCAGUCUCGGAAAGUGCCCGUUUGAUCCUGGUCGCCGAACCACUGGAAAGGUCAUACGUUCAAAAGCCACGUCCUGAUUAAUUCCAAUUCUGUGCUAGUUCCUUUUCUCCAAACACAGCUUCAAACUUCAAACAGGCGCUCUACCGUAGGUUAGCUUUGCUCCUGUCUCCGUGGCUUUGUACAGAGAGCCGUCACCCCCCCAUGCCGGCAUCAGAGGGUUGCUGGUUAACGUCCCAGACCGAUAAAAUAAAAUAAAGUGAAAAACCAAAGAAAUGCAAAUGGUGUCCAUCAGUCGCCUGUAUUUCAUAAACAUAGAGGCUUUGGCUGUGAUGUAGUCCUGCUCUUAAUCUAGGUCUAAAAUAAUAGAUUAAUUCAAGUUACUUUGUUUGGGGAUCCCAAAUUCUUCAUAUUGCCUAAAAUAGCCACCUCUGUCCGAGUAUCACUUCACGCCUCGUAAAGCGGGGAUGUCCAGUCGUGUGCCACGGCCAAGAGUGUGCAGGUUUUCAUUCCAACCAAUCACUGAUUUCACUGAUUAACCGGAGAGGAGGGAACGAGUGAACGAAAUCAGCGGGUGUUGUGAUUGGCAUAUUCCCCGCCCUCCCUGGCACACGAUUGGACAUCCCAGCCCUAAAGACUUCAACGGAGUGCACAUUUAACCCACCAGCACAUGGAAGGCUGUCUAAAUGGGAUAUAAUUUAUAAAGGACAUAAAUGUAAACAUAUUAAAAAAGGGAAGAUAUUUUCCCAUUUUAAUGAGGACCCCCGAAAGUUCUUGGUCCCCGGGCAGUCAGAACCCUUGUUUGACACUCCCCGAAAUGAUCCGAGGUCAGCUCGAAAUGAGAUCUGAGAAGACAAACGUUUGGGACUUCUGAGUGAGUAAGCGUUGCUACGUUAACCCAAGACGGCUUAGCUGUGCUAACCAUCCGUCAGUGUUAAACUGAGGGGUUUUCUUUGGCCUCGUCAAUCACAUGCGUAGUUAAAACAGGCACGUUACCUUAGUCAUAUCCAUGAGUGAUGCGUAUGCAUUUCUCACUGUUGCCGUGGAUACCCUACAAUAUUUGGUUAAUUUCGGUUCUGUGCAAGGGAGAAAAAUGUACGAACGGAUGCUAGCUGCAUGUUGAAUAUUCCAAUAUUUUGCAAUAACAUAAAAUGGUAAUAUAAUAACAUGUUGUAAUAUUAAGUAAAGUUAAGCAAUAGUCUGGAAUUUAGUUGAACUUGUAUAUAAAAACAUUUUUUUUUUCAGAAUAGUGACAAGAAAUCAGCAAAAAACACUUUGAAAUAGCAGUACCAUCCUGUACCAUUACUGCCUGCAGAUGCUGCAGCUCAUGGAUCCUACAGUUCACUAAUAAUAAUAAUAAUAAUAAUAAUAAUAAUAAUAAUAAUGAUAAUAAUAAUAAAGAACCAACAUUCUGCUUGUACUUAUUCUCUCCUUUGCAUAAACCAAAUCAUCAACGAAGCAAAAAAAGAGAGAAAAAAACAAUGGCAAAAACGUCUCACUAACCCCAUUGUUACCAGCUCAGUAAAGUUUCAAAAUGAGGAUGUUAUCCACAAUACUGAGUGCAAUACGACCGUGUUUGUCUACAAAUCAUAUGUAUAUGUGUAUCACUGGAGACUGGAGAAAUACUUUCCUUUUGCCUUUUUAUGUGAGUCACACCUUCGCAAUAAGGCUGUCCCAAAAACCCAUUUUUUUAUGUUUUAUUAUCUCAUUUAUUGUUGCCUUUUUUAAAUCGAAUGGUUUAGUGGCCAGACCUGGGAGGUCUGUCCUGUAUGUACAUAUUCUUCAUUGUUUUUUUGUUUUUGUUUGUUUGUUUUAUUUUAAGAAAUUCAAAGUGCCUCCCUGUUGGUGGGAUUAUGGUUGGGGGAGAAAGGGGGUGUUUUUGUGGGCUCAUUCCACUCCUUUAUUUUCCCCUCUUUUUUUCCCUCCCUUCUUUUCCUGCUCCUCACUCCACCCGUUGGGAGAGGCUAGGAAACGAGGUGAAGACGAAGGAAUCUAGAGAAACAGAAUGCUCUCGCUCCGUCUAACGUCUGUUUGAAGCCACGUCAGUUACAGACGUGGCAGACGGGGAGAGGUGGAUCCACAGGUCAGUUACAGAUGUGGCAGAUCAGUUACAGACAGUUACAGACAUGGCAGACAUGGCAGACGGGGAGAGGUGGAUCCACAGGUCAGUUACAGACAUGGCAGACGGGGAGAGGUGGAUCCACAGGUCAGUUACAGAUGUGGCAGAUCAGUUACAGACAGUUACAGACAUGGCAGACAUGGCAGACGGGGAGAGGUGGAUCCACAGGUCAGUUACAGACGUGGCAGACGGGGAGAGGUGGAUCCACAGGUCAGUUACAGACGUGGUAGAUGGGGAGAGGUGGAUCCACAGGUCAGUUACAGACGUGACAGAUGGGGAGAGGUGGAUCCACAGGUCCAGGUUAAACAGUACAUAACACUUUCUGAAAAAAUACUUCCACAAAAGGGAUGCACUCCUGUUUCCUCGCUCAAAGGAAAGUCCGGGAAACUUCCUGACUUCUACUUCUAGCUCCUGGAAAAGAUGGCAGGCCUGGGUCGAUUUUUCGGGUGUGGAGCAAGGAAAAGAAAAUGAGGAGAAAAAUAAGAGACUGGAAUGAGUCUCUGUGACUGUCACUUCCUGGGAGAGAUUUUCGUCAGCGUGUCUCACAUACACGUUUUCCUGUGUUUACACGUUUAUCUGAGUUUAUAUAAGUUUGUGCCAACUGGAGAGUUUGCUGUAAGCGUGUGCUGAACACCAUAUAGAUAAGGUUACACCUCUCCACGUUUCAUAACCCUUGCUGCUUUUUAAUCAUCAUUUAUUUGUCUGUUUAUUUCACGCCUUGAUAAGCUGUAAUAAACUUGAUCAAUGGA